GGACUUGAUUAUCAAGAGAUAUUCUCUCUAUUAACCAGAAUAGAAAUUGUUAGGUUAUUUAUUGCUUUGGCUACACAAAAUAGUUGGAAGUUUCACCAAAUGGACCCAGUCACUCAUGGAAGAAGUAAGCAAUAGAUACAUGAGUCCACUUCCUCCUAGAUUAAGUGAAUAAAAAUCAAGUCCAGCAAGUUUAGUGCAAGUCAGAGAACUAGGUUGCAGAUAUUCUUACCAAACUUUUGAAAUUUGGCUCAUUCAUCAAGCUUAAGUGUACGAUGGGAAUGGCAAGGUUGACUGAAUCAGGAUUAAGUGGGAUGUUGAAGUUAAUCCAGAUUCCUAGUUUAUUUUCAUCUUUUAGGAUUAAGUUUAUUUAGUAGAUUAAGUUUAUCAUUAUUUCUUAUCUUUAUCUAGUUUAUAAAGUCUAUCGAGUUGAUGAUGCCUAUCUUUCACAUAUUUAUUUUCAAUUGUUCUUAUCAAUUGGA
This 479-nucleotide long non-coding RNA is filed under the name Phoenix dactylifera (date palm). RNAcentral's name for it is "long non-coding RNA (PDAC_LNC007052)". The record is from RNAcentral. Lineage: Eukaryota; Viridiplantae; Streptophyta; Magnoliopsida; Arecales; Arecaceae.